Molecule: long non-coding RNA, 1006 nt
Organism: Ictalurus punctatus (channel catfish)
Lineage: Eukaryota; Metazoa; Chordata; Actinopteri; Siluriformes; Ictaluridae
Source: Ensembl
CUAAACAUGACACAAGGUCUAAACAUGAAACGAGGUCUAAACAGGAAACGAGAAACGAGGUCUAAACAUGAAAUGAGAAACAAGGUCUAAACAUGAAAUGAGAAACGAGUUCUAAACAUGAAAUGAAGUCUAAACAUGAAACGAGAAACGAGGUCUAAACAUGAAACGAGGUCUAAACAGGAAACGAGAAACGAGGUCUGAACAUGAAACGAGAAAUGAGGUCUAAACAUGAAAUGAAGUCUAAACAUGAAACGAGGUCUAAACAUGAAAUGAGAAACGAGGUCUAAACAUGAACGAGGUCUAAACAUGAAACAACGUCUAAACAUGAAAUGAGAAACGAGGUUUAAACAUGAACGAGGUCUAAACAUGAAACGAGGUCUAAACAAGAAACGAGAAACGAGGUCUGAACAUGAAACGAGAAACAAGGUCUAAACAUGAAACAAGGUCUAAACAUGAAAUGAGAAACGAGGUCUAAACAGGAAACGAGAAACGAGGUCUAAACAUGAAACAAGAAACAAGGUCUAAACAUGAAACGAGGUCUAAACAGUAAACGAGAAACGAGGUCUGAACAUGAAACAAGAAACGAGGUCUAAACAUGAAAUGAAGUCUAAACAUGAAACGAGAAAUGAGGUCUAAACAUGAAACGAGGUCUAAACAGGAAAUGAGAAACGAGGUCUAAACAUGAAAUGAGAAACAAAGUCUAAACAUGAAAUGAGAAACGAGGUCUAAACAUGAAACAAGGUCUACACAUGAAAUGAGAAACGAGGUCUAAACAUGAAACAAGAAACGAGGUCUAAACUUGAAACAACGUCUAAACAUGAAAUGAGAAAUGAGGUCAUAAACAUGAAACAUGAAACGAGGUCUAAACAUGAAAUGAGAAACGAGGUCUAAACAUGAAAGGAGAAACGAGGUUUAAACAUGAACGAGGUCUAAACAAGAAACGAGGUCUAAACAUGAAACAAGGUCUAAACAUGAAACGAGAAACGAAGUGUAAACAUAAAACGAG